Molecule: ribosomal RNA, 287 nt
Filed under: Weissella confusa
Lineage: Bacteria; Bacillati; Bacillota; Bacilli; Lactobacillales; Lactobacillaceae
Description: partial 23S ribosomal RNA
Rfam family: Eukaryotic large subunit ribosomal RNA
Source: RNAcentral
CGGGAUUACCCGCUGAACUUAAGCAUAUCAAUAAGCGGAGGAAAAGAAAAUAACAAUGAUUUCCCUAGUAACGGCGAGUGAAGAGGAAAGAGCUCAAAGUUGGAACCUGUUUGGCUUAGCUAAACCGGAUUGUAAACUGUAGAAGUGUUUUCCUGACACGCCUGGUAAAAAAGUCCUUUGGAACAGGGCAUCAUAGAGGGUGAGAAUCCCGUCUUUGGCCAGAGCUGUUGUCUUUUGUGAUACAUUUUCAAAGAGUCAGGUUGUUUGGGAAUGCAGCCUAAAUUGGG